AGCAGACCAGGACAAGGAGAGUAGGAAGAAGGUGAGUAUUUAUUUACAAGUGAAUGUGAAUGGGUAGAUAUAUCGAGGUGGCGUAGCGGGCAGCGGUGGUGAGUUGAUGGGAGUAAAUAGGUGGAUCCAAUGGGGAAGCGGAAUCCUCCGACGACCAGGCGGGAAUGGGGUAAAUGAUCCGGGUGAGUAACUGAAGACAGAACAAACGGAGGGAAUGGAUGUCAGGUCCGGGCUUAUGAAGAGGAGAGAUGAUGAUCAGGACCAGGUGUGCAGAUAGCUGAUGGGAUACAGGUGCGGGUAAUCAGAACUCCCAACUGGCUACAUUGCCCGGCAACCAGACAGGGUGCGUUCCAGGACGCCGGAAAAAACACUCCAGGACAGAACACAGGCAAAAAAACAGACUCAGGAAACGGGAUUCGUGACACUCACGUUGACUGCCUCGCAUAACGUGAAUCCAUAGGCAGCGCAUUGUGAUGAUCCAUCCUCCAUUGGAUAACAUCGAGGUGGUAUAGAAGGAAUGCAACAUAUGUAUAGUUCAGAAAUAGAACUCAAAAACUACAAACUCCUAAUGGUACAUAGGAGUUCUACUAUUAUUAAUGUCAAUAAAAGAAUAUGCUAGAAUAUGCUAAGCUUUGUGUCCCUACUGGAAAGUUACACAAUCUGUGUGUAUACAAAUUUGAGCACUGAUGUCAUCAACAUUCAAAAGCCUGUAUCAUUCCUAUCAUGUACCUACUGCUCUAGUAAAGUCACACAGUGGAGGUAAAAGUCUGUCAACAUCAAAUGCCAGAUCUAAUACUACUGACGAGUGAGUGUACUUGGGACUAUAAAUGACUGUCUAGGGUCCAUGUGAGAUGGAAAUAGAUAUUUGUUGUUAUUAUUGGAAUGACCUGCAUAAGUGGUAAAUAUUUUGGUAAAAGUAUUGUUUUUAUGUAUAUUCAUGCAGCUUAAAAUCAUUGUUCAACCGAGCAUCUAAAACAUUGUCCAACAGAGUGCGCUUCUAAAAUGCUUACGUCCAUUUUCAACAAAAAUAAUAAAUACAAAACCAAGAGAUAUUGCCAUACCGGUUAUUCAUUUCAUGGUUUAAACCUCAGGGCCCAAAGUUACUGUAGUUUCAUUAAAAUAAUUUCACGUUCCAUUUAGAACAGCUGUUCUUUAGGAAGGGUAAAACAGCCACUUAUUGGACUGCUGCAAAGCCACAUUGGCAUGUUGUACAUACAGUGCAUUCAGAAAGUAUUCAGACCCCUUCACUUUUUCCAAAUUAUGUCACGUUAAAGCCUUAUUAUCCUUAUACAUCUACACACAAUACCCCAUAAUGACAAAACAGGUUGUUUGACAUUUUUGCAAAUUUAUACAAAAGAAAAUGCAUCCUGUUUCCAUUGAUCAUCCUUGAGAUAUUUCUACAACCUGGGAGUCCACCUGUGGUAAAUUCAAUUGAUUGGACAUGAUUUGGAAAGGCACAUACCGGUCAAUAUAAAAGGUCCCACAGAUGAUGGUGCAUGUCAGAACAAAAACCAAGCCAUGAGGUCGAAGGAAUUGUCUGCAGAGCUCCGAGACUGGAUUGUGUCAAGGCACAGAUCUGGGGAAGGGUACCAAAUAAUGUCUGCAGCAUUGAAGGUCCCCAAGAACACAGUGGCCUCCAUCAUUCUUAAAUGGAAAAAGGAAAAAGUUUGGAACCCCCAAGACUCUUCCUAGAACUGUCCGUCCAGUCAAACUGAGCAAUCUGGGGAGAAGGGCCUUGGUCAGGGAGGUGACCAAUAACCCGAUGGUCACUGGCAGAGCUCCAGAUUCCUCUGUGGAGAUGGGAGAACCUUCCAGAAGAACAACCAUCUCUGCAGAAUUCCACCAAUAAGGCCUUUGUGGUAGAGUGGCCAGACAGAAACCACUCCUCAGUAAAAGGCACAUGGGAGCCCGCAUGGAGUAUACCAAAAGGCCCCUAAAAUGCAGGAGUGGCUUUGGGACAAGUCUCCGAAUGUAAUUGAGUUGCCUAGCCAGAGCCCGGACUUGAACCUGAUAGAACAUCUCUAGAGACCUGAAAAUAGCUGUGUAGCGAUGCUCCCCAUCCAACCUGAUAGAGCUUGAGAGGAUCUGCAGUGAAGGAUGGGAGAAACUCCCCCAAAACAUGUGCCAAGCUUGUAGCGUCAUACCCAAGAAUCAAGGCUGUAAUUACUGUCAAAGGUGCUUCAACAAAGUACCUAGUAAAGGGUCUGAAUACCGAGUUUUUUUUUUUUUAAAUAAGGUUUAAAUAUUUUUUAUAUAAAACUGGUUUUGCUUUGACAAUAUGGGGUAUUACGUGUAGAUUGACGGGGGGGGGGACAAUGUAAUCCCUUUUAGAAUAAGGCUGUAACAAAAUGUGGAAAAAGUUAAGGGGUCUGAAUACUUCUUGAAUACACUGCAGUAGAGGCAAUUUAUCACUAUUCCUUCAUCUGACCAUAACCAAGCACACUCGGUAUGUAUAUGAGCUUGCACUGUUCCUUUAGCACCAAAUUCCAUUGGCUUUUCAAGUGAGAGAUUACCAUGUUAUAAUGCAAUGACUAAAUGCUAUUAAAAGUAAGACAUGGACAAGAGAACUGUGUAAAGGAGUACUUAGAUUUCGUGGCUAUUGUGGUACAACUGUACUGUAGUUCCAUAUUAAAAGGUGAAAUCCAUGCUUUUAAUGGCACUGUUUCUGCAUUUCAUUUGAGAGACAGCCUACUAUAUUUCAGGAG
Molecule: long non-coding RNA, 2705 nt
Organism: Oncorhynchus tshawytscha (Chinook salmon)
Lineage: Eukaryota; Metazoa; Chordata; Actinopteri; Salmoniformes; Salmonidae
Source: Ensembl